This is a long non-coding RNA of Salvia miltiorrhiza (redroot sage), 444 nucleotides long. RefSeq lists it as uncharacterized. NCBI's taxonomy places the organism in Eukaryota, Viridiplantae, Streptophyta, Magnoliopsida, Lamiales, Lamiaceae. The transcript has 3 exons. The record is from RefSeq and is a predicted model, not a curated record.
CACACACACAAACACACUCAACACACACUAAACACACACUUCACGCCAUUUCCAUUGACGCUUGGUGUUCGAGCUUUCAAGCUCCGAUUUGAGUGCCGAGACGAGCCCCGAUCAUCUUUUCGAUCACGUAUCUAAGUAGGUCCUUUUGGGAAGUAAUGACUUGAGGGAGAGAGUGACGUUACUCAUUGAUACAGAGACACAACGAGGUUGAGCAGCUGCCGAUGGUGAUGAAGUGACGAGCAGGAUUCUUUUGUCUUAUUAUGUAUUAAUGAACUCUAGGGUUACAUGUCUUCAUACAUGUAAUCAGAACCUUAUUCCGCUGCGUACUCAGAAGUUUUAUGUUUAUUUGGCUAAGUCAGAGAUAUCUGAACUUACUAGUUAUUUGAGUCUAUACGACUAAACUUCUGUUAUAUUAUAAAUAUUCCUUUUGUUAAAUGAUGAAAU